RNAcentral lists this long non-coding RNA (34941 nucleotides) under Gossypium barbadense (sea-island cotton). Its description in RNAcentral is "long non-coding RNA (GBAR_LNC023094)". Lineage: Eukaryota; Viridiplantae; Streptophyta; Magnoliopsida; Malvales; Malvaceae. The record is from RNAcentral.
CAUUGUUAAUUUGCAAUUACUUAUAUUUUUUUUUAUUUUAUUGAAGAAAAGUCACUAACUGCUUGUAUAUAUUUAAAAGAACACUUCUACAGGCUUUGGAAAACUAUCAUCCACAUUGAGUAAUUUGGAGAUCCUUGACUUAAGUUACAAUUACUUGAAUGAUAGCAUUUUGUUAUCUUUGAGUGAGCUUUCCUCUCUCCGGUAUUUAGACCUAUCAUACAACCAAUUUGAAGGAUCAAGUCAUCCAAGAGGUAAAUUAAAUUUGGUCUGGUGUAAGUUUUUAUUUGUAUAGUAGAGUUUGAGGAUGGUCUUCUAGGCUUGGUACCUAGUUUUCCAUUCUUUUUAUCCGUUGUAAUUCCACUUUUGCUUUAGUAAAAUUUUCAUAUAGCUAAGAAAGAAAAAAACAAUUAACAAGUAAUUAUGUAUAUAUAUCAGGUUUUCAAUUGCUUUCAAGACUCAAUAACUUGGAAACUCUUGAUUUAAGUUGGAAUUCUUUGAAGAAUAGCAUUUUGUUCCAUAUGAGAAAUCUUUCAUCCUUGAAGACUUUAAGAUUGAGACGUAAUCAGUUGAAAGGAAGGCUGGAUCAUAUUCAAGGUAGACUGAUUUUACCUGUUUCUUUUCAACUUUAAAAAUCAAUAUGUAUAUUCAAGUUUGAUUUCAUCAUACGAUCAAUAUAUAACUAAUCAAUACUUGGGAUUGAAUUUUAGGGUUGAAUAAUUUGACAAACUUGAAAUACUUGGAUUUAAGUGACAACAGCAUUGAAAGCAUCUCAAACCAAGGUAUAAGUACACUAUUUACAUGUCAAUUCAUAUUAAAGGUAGACUGGUUUUAUAUGUUUCUUUUUUACUUUAAAACCAAUUUUUGUUUAAGGGACAGUUAAUGUUGCAAUAUUUUAAAAUUGAGUAAAUUAAGUAGGAAGGUAUCUCAAACAAAGUAUUUAUAUGUUGAAUCAAUUAAGUUUUACUUGUAAAAUGUAGCUUAUGAAUUCAUGGGAAAGCUUGUAAAUUGGCUCUUCCUUCUCAAACAAACAUUUUUCCUAGCUAUUUAUAUAUUGAAUGAUAUUAACUAUACUAAUUAUUUUCUUCCAAUGAUAGAUGGAACACAAUGGAGGCUAACAAACUUAGAGGAACUUGAUUUAAGUAAUAAUCUCUUUCGGAACAACACAAUUUCUUUCCUCAGGGGCUUUCAAGCCUAAAGUCUUUGACUUUGUACAACAACAGUUUGCAAGGCUCAUUAGAUACUAAAGGUACUAAAGCUAUAACUUUGUUUUUCUUGAUAAUUCUUUCUAGAACCUUUUAAAAUUAAUUGUUUCAAAUUUGAGCAUUCAGAUUUCACGUUUGAGGUUUUUCAUCUUCACUUCAAGUUUUAGAUUUACUUUUUUUUAUUUCAUUAAAAUAUUAAGUAGAAAUUAAAAUUAUUAACAUAAUGAUUUUUUGAAUUGGACAUGGAUAUGUAUAGGAUUGAGCAAUUUAACAAAUUUGAAGAAACUAGAUUUAAGUGGGAAUCAAAUUGAAAGCUUUCAAUCCUUUAAAGGUAUGCAUUUAUAUUUAACCAAUUACCUAAAUUCUUACAUAUAAUUAAAUUUUAUGCCAAUUCAUUUCAGUGAUGAAAUUAUAUAAAUGUGGUUCAAAAUUGGAGUUGACCCACUUGGAAGAGCUUUAUUUAGAUUACAAUCUCUUCAAUACUAGUGUAUUUGCAUCCCUUAACAAGCUUUCAAAUUUGAAAUCUUUGAGCAUAAAUUACAAUCAAUUGAAAGGAUCAAUAGAUACGAAAGGUAAAAAUAUUAGUUUUUUAACAAGGAUAUAAUAAUGUUUUAAGAGAAUAUAAUGAAGUUGAUUUGUUAAUUUUGUUUUCCUAGAUUUGGAUGCAUUUAUCAAGUUAAGGGAACUAGAUUUGAGCGACAAUGAAUUGAAAGAUUUGGUGAUCCACCAAGGUAUCAUUUAAUUAAACUUCUUUUUUUUUUCUAAUUUAGAAAUUUAGUUUUGAUCUCAUAUAUUAUAAUAACGGUUAUUGUCAUAAAUAUUAAUAAAGUUAUAUCAUAUCAUACUUGAAAGUAAAAUAUGAGUUUGGUGAAACAUUUUCUAAAUCCUCCAUUAUAAUGUGUUUCAACUUUAGUUUGAAAUUAAAAUUCUUUAAAAUUUUCUUAAUUUUAAAAUAUUAAUGUUUAUAAUUAUUUUGUUUGUAAAAAUAUAUUUUUUAAAAUAAUUUAUUUAAUUUUUAUGAGAUAAAAAAUAAUUAUAACAAUAAAAACAAUGAUAUUACAAAUAAAUAAAACAUAUAUUUAUGAGAAAAUAUGUAAUAUAACUAUAUUUUAAUUUCAUAUUUUUUUAAUAGUAUAAAACAUAAAAAUACAUAUUAGAGUUACAUAAAUCACAUUUUUUUGCCAAAAAUAAAUAAAUAUGAAUUUUGAAUAAUUUAAAAAAAUCUUCAAUUUUAUGAAAUUUAAACAUACAUUUAGAGGUGCUUAAACUUCCAUCGCAAACUUUUUAUAAAUUUCAAAAUGCACAUGUUAUUAACAUAUGUCUACAUACUCUUUAUAAAUUUGUAAUUUAAUUCUUAUACUUUUAUUUUUAGGAAUUUAGUCCCUCUAUUUUAAAAAAAAAAUUCAAAAUCCAAGUUCAAUAGUUAAAAUUGUUACUUUUUUUAAAAAUAAUUAGUUGGUGUGACAUUUUGAAAUAAAAAACUUUGGUAGCAAUGUAACUAAAAAAUGACAUAAUGAAAAUGGAUUUAAUAAAACAAUUUUAACAGUAUUAAUAAUUAGACUUGAAUUUUGAAAUUGAGUAAAAUAAAUGGCAUAAAACAUAAAAAUACACGUUAGAGUUAAUUAAAUGGCAUUUUUUGGCCAAAAAUAAAUAAAUGUCAAUUUUGAAUAAUUUAAAAAAAAAACUUCAAUUUUAUGAAAUUUAAACAUACAUUUUGAGGUGCUUAAAAAUUUUUUUCCAAACUUUUUAUAAAUUUCAAAAUGCACAUGUUAUUAACUUUUUGGUUUAAAAAAUGUGAUAGGUCUACGUACUCUUUACGAAUUUGUAAUUUAAUUCUUGUAUUUCUAUUUUCGUCAAUUUCCCUCUAUUUUUUAAAAUUUAAAAUCCAAGUUCAAUUGUUAACAUUGUUAUUUUUUUAAAUUAAUUUAUUGGUGUUGACAUUUUGAAAUAAAAAAACCUUGGUAGCAAUGUAACUAAAAGAUGACGUAAUGAACAUGGAUUUAAUAAAAUAAUUUCAAUAGUAUUAAUAGUUAGACCUGAAUUUUGAAAAUUUAUUUUUGUAAAGAGAAAAAUAUGCACAUUAGAUUUAAAUAAAAAUAAUAUUUUUUUAGUUUAAAAUUUUCUAUUUUAUAAUAGAACCAUGAUUUAAAUAAAUGAAAUUUUGAAGAGUUGCCAAAAAAAACUAUGUAGGUGAAAUUUAAAUAGAGAAUUUGAGAAGCUGAAAGUCUCUUUCAGAAUUUAUAAAUUUUAAAAUUCAAAAGGAUGUAUUUUGACAAUUUUAGGGCAAUGAUUUAGUGCUUUAAAAUUUUGAUUUAAUAUGGAGAAUUUAAUUAAAAAAUUUAUUUAUUAGAUUGCAAAAUAUUAUAAUAUGUAAUAUAACUAUAUUUUAAUUUCAUAUAUUUUUAAUAGUAUAAAACAUAAAAAUUCAUAUUAGAGUUAAAUAAAUGACAUUUUUUGGCCAAAAAUAAAUAAAUUUCAAUUUUGAAUAAUUUUAAAAAAAACUUCAAUUUUAUGAAAUUUAAACUUACAUUUUGAGGUGCUUAAACUUUUUUUUCAAACUUUUUUAUUAAUUUCAAAAUGCACAUGUUAUUAACUUUUUGGUUUAAAAAAAUGUGAUUUAACUUUUUUGUAAUUUAAUUCUUGUAUUUUUGUUUUUGGGAAUUUGAUCCCUCUAUUUUUUAAAUUUCAAAAUCCAAGUUCAAUUAUUAACAUUGUUAUUUUUCAAAAAUAAUUUAUUGGUGUUGACAUUUUGAAAUAAAAGAACUUGUUAGCAAUGCAACUAAAAGAUGACGUAAUGAACAUGGAUUUAAUAAAAUAAUUUCAAUAGUAUUAAUAGUUAGACCUGAAUUUUGAAAAUUUAUUUUUGUAAAGAGAAAAAGAUGCACAUUAGAUUUAAAUAAAAAUAAUAUUUUUUUAGUUUAAAAUUUUCUUUCUUAUAAUAGAACCAUGAUUUAAAUAAAUGAGAUUUUGAAGAAUUUCCAAAAAAAAAAAAACUAUGUAGGUGAAAUUUAAAUAGAGAAUUUGAGAUGCUGAAAGUCUGUUUCGGAAUUCAUAAAUUUUAAAAUUCAAAAGGAUGUAUUUUGACAAUUUUAGGGCAAUGAUUUAGUGCUUUAAAAUUUUGAUUUAAUAUGGAGAAUUUAAUUAAAAAUUUAUUUAUUAGAUUGUAAAAUAUUUCUUAACAUUUAUAAUUGAGUACAAAGUAAAUUAAGUUUAAGGGAAAAUAUUUAGUACUAUUAAUGAAACUCUUUUCUUUUAUCAAAUUUUUUUUUUAAAAAAAUCUGGUUUUUUAAAAAAAAUCGGGGUGGUACUAUUAAUGAAAUUCUAAACUUCAUAAGUAGGAUUGAGAUAAUAACAAAUAUAUUAUAUGGUAUAAUAAAAUAUUAAAAAAAGAAAUAUUUAAAAGAAAUAGGUUACUGGCCAUUUUUUAACUUCACUUGUAGAGUUAAAAAACUCCAUUACUAGUACCAAAUACUAAUAUUAAGGAAUUAAAUGCUAAAUUAAUUUCAAACAUAUUUAAAUCUGAUAUGAAUCAAGAAAAAAAUUAUUUUGAAAUUAUAUUUUAUCUUAGAAUGCUAAAAAAGGAUUAGUUUAAUUAAUAAAAUGAAUAAAUAGUUAUGUUAAGAUUUGGACAUUCUCUAUUAAAAUUUUAUUUUAUUGAUGAAAACAAAUAUUUAUAUAUUUCUUUCACUUACAGAAAAUAAGGGAUUGAGAAAUUUGAAAGUUUUGUUUCUUUAUCACGCUUUCACCGAUGGAAGCAUUCCAUUACAAAAUUUAGUGGAGGCUUUCUCAUCAGUUAAAGCCUUUCAUCUACAAUACAAUUAUCUGAACAUGACUCUGGCUACUCAAGGUAAGUGAAAGUCAUUAUGUUCUUUUCCAAAACAGCUUACGUUUAUUAACAUCUAAUACCUCUUCUCAUCCUAUAGAAUUAAAUGUGUCGAGCAAUGUGGAGGAAUUAUAUUUUGGCGGAUCUACUCUCAACACCAACAUUUUGCAAAGCAUUGGAGUAUUCGCUUCUCUUAAAACAUUGUCUUUACAUGAUUGUGGACUUAUCAGUCCCUUACCUAAUCAUGGUAAAUAAAUUUAUGGGUCAAAUUGACUUCUUUAUGAGCCUUCUGGGAUAUAAUAUCUCCUAUUAUGUUUAAUAGGAUCAAAUUUAAUUAAAAUUUCUUCAAUGAAUUUAUAAAUUUUUCAGGAUGGUGUGAUCUAAGAAACCUUGAAGUGUUGGAUGUGAGUGGGAAUGCACUUGAGGGGAUGCUUCCUCAUUGUUUCAGUAACUUGACAUCUCUUCGUGCGUUAGAUAUUUCAGGAAACCAUUUUCAAAUUCCGUUGUCUUUCGCACCAUUUGCAAACCUUUCAAACCUCAAAGUCCUUUCCGGUGAUGAAAACAAGAUGGUAAUGGAACCUUCCUUUUAUACCUCAGUCCCAAAGUUUCAAUUGACCAGCAUCAGUUUGUCAAAGUGCAUUACAUCUCAACAACUCAAUCUUGAACUUCCUACCUUCCUUUACUACCAAUAUGACUUGAGAUAUGUGGAUCUUUCUCAUAACAAUUUCAGCGGAACAGUCCCAACUUGGUUGUUAGAAAACAACACAAAGUUAGAAGUUCUCAUCUUGAUGGGUAAUUCCUUUACUGGUCCUCUCUCAUUUUCGUCAGCUCUUAUUUCUAAUGUAUCUUCAAUUGACAUAUCUGAAAACAAAUUACAAGGUCAAAUUCCGACUACUAUAUGUUCAACUUUUCCACAUUUGUGGCGGUUAUUCUUAUCCAAGCAUGCUUUUGAAGGUAAUAUCCCACUUUGUUUAAGUGUCAUGAAGUACUUAUCAUUUUUAGAUCUAUCAAACAAUCAAUUGUAUGGAAAAGUACCAGAAGAGUUGAUCGCGAAAGGCUCACUGACCAUUUUGAGACUAUCAAAUAACAAGCUCAGUGGAAAUGUAGUUCCUGUGGUUCUCAACUCAAAUGGGGUGCAGAAUUUAUAUUUGGAUGGAAACAAUUUUUCAGGAGAGAUGACAAAUGUUGAUUUGUCUACUUUUGAGUUUCCAAAUUCAAUAAGGGAAAUUGAUCUUAGUAACAACAAGUUGCAUGGAAAGCUCCCAAGAUGGAUAGGGAAUGCAUCGUUUUUGGAGAGAUUAGCUUUGUCCAACAGCGGUUUCGAGGGUUCUAUUCCAAUGGAAUUUUGCAAGUUGAAUAGGUUGGAAUUUUUGGAUCUUUCCCAAAAUCAUUUAUCUGGAUCUAUACCGUCAUGUUUUAAUCCACCAAACAUAGAGCAUGUCCACCUCCACGGGAAUAGACUGAGAGGUCCACUAUCACUUGCUUUUUAUAAUAGCUCCUCUCUAGUGACUUUAGAUCUUAGAGGAAACAAUUUGACAGGUAAUAUUCCAAAAUGGAUUGACACACUUUCUUCUUUGAGUGUUCUUCUCUUGAAAGAUAAUCAUUUUCACGGUAAAGUUCCAAUUCAGUUAUGCAAGUUGCAUUCUUUAAGCAUCAUAGAUCUUUCUCAAAAUAUGUUUUCUGGUCCUAUACCUUCUUGUUUGGGAAAUUUAUCUCUUCCAAUGCAAACGAAGAAGAUUCUAGACAUUGGGAUCUAUAGGCAAUCUACAGAAGAGGAUGAAUCAACACGCAUUAUGAUAGCAAAUCUGGGACCGGAUUCUUACUACCCUUACAGCUACUUUGAAGAAGUAAUAGAGUUCACAACAAAGAGUGGGUUCUAUUCGUACAAGGGCGACAUCCUUUCAUAUAUGACUGGGAUUGAUUUAUCUUGCAACAACUUAACUGGUCAUAUCCCACCAGAAUUAGGGAACUUGAGUGAAAUCCAUUCUUUAAACCUUUCACACAAUAAGUUGACCGGAGUUAUACCCUCGUCAUUCUCAAAACUUCAUCAAAUUGAGAGUUUGGACCUUUCUUACAACAACUUGAGUGGUGAAAUCCCCAAUCAAUUGGUAGAGUUGAACUCUUUGGAGGUUUUCAGCGUGGCAUUUAACAACUUGUCAGGUAGUAUUCCCGAACCAAAAGCUCAAUUUGGGACCUUUAUUGAAAAUAGUUAUGAGGGAAAUCCGUUUCUUUGUGGAGUUAUAUUGCAUAAAAGUUGUUCCAAAACCGAUUCACCAUCAACGAUAUCAACUGUAUCAGAAGAUAAAGGAGAAGAUGGUUUGAUAGAUACUUAUGAUUUUUGUGUGAGCUUUUUGGUUUCUUAUGUAGUUGUGUUGUUGACAAUUUUUGUUGUCCUCUACAUAAAUCCAUACUGGCGAAGAGCUUGGUUUUCUCUUGUUGGGAAAUGCAUUACCACCUGUCACUACUCAAAUGUGGGCAAUUCUUACUUAUCACAUUUUCAAGCGAUGUGUUUAGCUACUCAAAUUGCGAUUUGAUUUCCACACCUAAAUGUUUAAUUAUGCUAAGUUGAGCGAUAAUGAAUAUUUUGUUGAUUUUUGCAUUUUGAAUAAAAGCUCUUUUACCUUAUGGUUUUAUCAUUUUCAACCAACUAUUUCUUUUUUCUUCUAUGAAUUUAAUGUAAAAUCAUAAUCCAUUAUUAUGUAUAUGUAAUAUCUCUUUAAAUUAAAUUAAAUUAAAUUAACUGCCAAGCGUUCACUAGUGCAUACUAAAAAGGAAAUCUAAUGUAAAAUUAAAUAACAUACUAGAAAAUUGAAUCUAAAACUGGAAUAUUUUAAAACCUCACAAACAAUGCAAUUCUUUAUUCCUCUUUUCCUCUCAAGUUAUUUUGUAUCAUGUUAUAUUUUACAUAAUUAUUCGUAUCAUCAAAUUUUUUUAAAAAAAUUAAUAUUUUGAUAUCACGUUCAUAUUAUGCUUUAAUUCACAAUGUAUUUUAUAUAAUAUGUUUGUAAUACCCAAUUUUGUCCGGCCCAUUAAAACCCAAUUUGAAAUAAAACUAAGUGGGAGUCCAUAUUACAGCCCAAAUUCGGCCUAAUAAGGCCCAAAUUGCUAGCCCUAGCCUGUUAGCCCAAAAGAACACAGCCUAAGCAGAUUGAAGCAAAUCGGUGCCGCAGCAACUGCCCACGACAUGGCAACGGUUUCCACCCACGUUCAGCAAUUCCCCACACCCACCAUGCACGUUCUUCACCUGCAACAAACCAUAAACAGCAUUAUAGGAUCGAAUAUACAGCAAAAAAAAGGGGGGAAAUUUUAGUUGGUGCUUUCCGGUAAAUAUUGGCUAUAAAAGUCAAUCGAUUUUUGUAAGAAGGGGGGUUACACACAUAUAUUGAAAAAUACUGAAAUACGAAAGAAAAGAAUUAGAAAAAAAACAAAUUUUGGAAGGUGAUUUUUGCUCUUUCCACGUCUUUUUACUUUUUUCUGUUUUUUUGUCUCAUCUUUUUCUUUUGUAUUUUACUUCAUUUUUUUUAAAAUAAAACGAAAAGUAAAAGAAAGGGAGGAGAUUCUUACCAGCAGAGGCGCGCCGUCAGCAUAGUUUUCUUCGCUUUGUCCAAAUCGAAGUUAAAAGGGGAGGGGGUUUUGGCGUGAAGAGUUGGGAAGAAGAUGAAACAGUUUUUAAAGCUAUUGCUGCUGCAGAAUAGCGUUUAAAUUUGAGAUUGUUGUUUGUUUACGCUUUUAAUCCUUCCAUUUUAUCCCACCAUUUCAAAAUUAUUGUUGUUUGUUUUCAAAUUUUUCCAUGAAACAUUAUUAAUGUUUUGAUUUAAUACAAUGUUGUGCAAUGCUUUGGGUGGUUUGGGUAAAUUAUUUUUUUAGUCCUCUUUCUGUUACACGUGUUUUAAUUUACUCCCUUCCUUGUUUUUAUUUUCAAAUUUAGCUCUCAACUUCUGUUUGGAAUUUUAAUUUAGUCCUUAAUUUGUUUUUUUAGUUUAUUUUUAUUAUAUUGUUUAUUAUUAUAAUUAUUAUAUUAUUAUUAUUGUAUUUAUAUGUGUGCGCCUAUAUAUAUAUAUUAAUAUACAUAUAUAUUAUAAAUGUUUUAACUAUAUAGGUAGUACGUAUAUAUAUUUUAUUUUUAUAGUUCGUACAUAUUUUAUAUACAUUCAUUUUUUUAUAUAAUAAUAUUUAUGUUUUCAUGUUUUAUAAUUCAUAUGUAUAUACAUUUUAUAAUAUGUACAUAUAUUUUUGCAUUCUUUUCAAGGCUUUUAUAAACAUUUUCCAUGUUUUUAUAUUUACUAAUACAUUUAAAAAAAACAUGUAUUAAUAUAUUUUAUGUGUAUUUUAUUUUAUUAUUAUUUUUAUGACUUACGCAUUUUAUUUUUUUUCCCUUUCCCCUCAUAUUCCUGUACGUAUUUGCUAAAAUUGUUUAUAUAUUAUACUUAUAAAUAUGCAUAAUUUAAAUUUAAAUAUUUGCUUCAUAUUGCAUUAACAUUUUUAACAUAUUUUUAAUAAAUAUUUUGAUUUUUGUAAAAAAUAGUAAAAUUGGUUUUAUGAUCCAAAGGCUUUUAAAAUAAAAACGAUAUUCAAAGUUAGGGAUUUUCGAGGAAAAUUGAGCCCUAACGUAUUGGGUUUCGAUUUUCUUUGUUAAUUCCAAAUAACCGAGAAUAUUCGUUAUUUAAAAUGUAUAAGUAAAAUCAUUUUGGGAACUUAAUUUGCUAUGUCCUAACGUAUUAGGCAUGACAUAAUUGCUUUCUCGAAAUGAAGAUUUUCUUUAAAAGUUAAAAAGCGAUAUCCAAAGUUCGGGGAUUUUGAGAAAUUGUACCCUAAGGUAUUGGGUCUCGAUUUCUUUAUCUAACUUGAACAAUUGAUUAUCCUUUUUCAGAUUUCAUCAUUUGAGUUUUUUAAAAAAAAAAUUUAACCCUCGACACUAAGACAUUAAAUAAUCAAUUUGGUACUGAUUUUUGGGCGUUACGAGGGUGCUAACCCUUCCUCGUACGUAACUAACUCCCGAACUCGUUUUCUCAAAUUUCGUAGACCAGAAUGAUUUUUAAGGUGGGCCGAUCACACCUCAAUCUAGGAUCGGUGGCGACUCCAAUUUUGUUUUUAAAGUCGACAACCCAAAUUUUUGUUUUCAAAAAAUGGUUUCGACAAUGUUAUAACAAUUCAAUUUAAAAAAUAAGCAAUUAUCUUAUUUUUGCAUACCGUAAUAUACAUUUACAUGAUAAUAAUUCAUUGUACAUAAAUUUUGACAUGUUCGUAUAUUUGAGUCAUUAUAAUUUUAUUAUUUGUAAUAUGACAUGUUUUACUUACCCUUAAUAUUGUGUCAUGAUAAUUAUAACUCGAUUGGCAGUGUACCAAAUAUUUUUCUAAUAAAAAAUAGUAUUUUAUUCUAUUUACCAAAUCUUUAUCAACUUUAUAUUCUCACCAACAAAACAUACAUUCAAAGUUCAAAUAAGUUCCACACCCAUUUAUGCUCAUCAUCAGAAAGCUGAAAUAUUCCACUCUAAUUAACAUUAUGAUUCUGUAAACAACAAAAAAGUGUGAUCUUUUUUUAAAGCUCUUUUUUUUCUUUAAUGAAAUGGGAUUGGUAAAAAAUCCGCACAUGUGUCGUGUGUGAAGAAGGUCAGGUUGUCUAUUCAUACUGUAAUAAGUAGCUAAUUAUAGUUGAUCCUACAAAAUCAAAAUUAAUUCAGGUAUCUAUAUAUUCUGAAGACUGGACAGACCUUAGAAGCUCCUUCAAAUUUGCAAGAACAUGUCGUGGUCCUAAACUCUUUACACCGAUGAAAUUCAAAAGUUGCUCUAUAUCCUGCAAUCACAGUAAAGAUUAUGCAAGCGUUUCAGAACGAAUAACAUAACAAGCAAAAGGCAAUCAAAAUACUGUGAUCUCGAUAAUGUUCUUUGCCGAAAAGGAACAUAAACAUAACCUGAAAACAUCAGUGAAGGCUCAUCAGAUUUGCUUAGCAACCUUACAUACACAUGUAAAAAGCUUUGCUUUUGGAUGUAAGGUGUGACUAUCAUCACAGUCUUUCCUAAUUAGCUGAUAACCCUAUAUCUAACAUUAAUCAUGGCUAAGCAAAUUAACAUACAUAAUGUAAAGGAAUUUGACUAUAAGAUCCAACAGAAAACUUAAUAAAAGAUAAUCAACAUAGAAAGUUAAAAGGCAAUGCAAACUUAUUACAAUGAUGCAAGUGGAUCAAAAGAAAGCACUCUAUAAGGAAUUUGCAUUUAAGGCAUUGUAAACAGAAAAAAAAAAAAAAACUUUUUGGAAAGUAUUUUCAAAGAGGAGACAAACAGGGUAGAAAAAAUGUUUGGUCCUUCCUUUUUCUAUUUCUACUGUGGUGAAAAAGCCUUUUUGGGUUAAAAGUGUUUUUACACUGCAGAAGUGUUUUUCCACUGCAGAAGUGACGAAGAACACAUAGCUUUUGCAGUCAAAAACCUACUGCUUUUCGCUUUUGCAUUUCGAAGUGAAAAUUAUAAAAAUACUCUUAGAUUAAUUUAUAUUUUAUAUAUUAUUAUAUUAAUUGUUUAAAUCUUAUUUAUUAUUAUAUUUAAUUUUUUUCAAAAUAUUUUAUAUAUCAUCAAUUUUACAAAUAAUUUAUAUUAAUUACUUAAAAGGUAUUUAAAAGUUAUAUUUCAUGUAUCAUUAUAUUAAAUUAUUUAAAUAUCAUAUAACUUGACUAAUUUUUUUCUUUCUACCAUCAUGUCUAAAAAAGACAUUUUAACUUUCAACUGCAAUUUUUGGCAGUAAUGAACAACACUAAAAACUAACAAACAUACUUUUCCGCACCACAUUUCAACAACACUUUUUUCUAAACGCACUUUUGAACUAGUCCUUAGUCUAUCAUGCAUCAACUCUUCAUUUUUCUUUAACUACCCAUGUCCGACUUCGAACAUGGAUAUGGAGAUAUGACCAAGUCACAGUGACAUAGUUUUUAGUUAUGGGGAAUGGGAUUCGAGUGCUGGACCUCCUUUUAGAUGCAUGGUGGGACUUCAUCACAUUUUUCAAAUUUGUUGAUAAUCCUUCACCUAAUCUGCCGGUGAAGUUUAUAGAUAGUCUUAAGUGUCUAUCACAAGAACCUAGAUAUUGUAAAUCCAAUAUCUUCCAAACAAUUCAACCAUGAUAUUAAUGAUGAUGGAAGCAAGAUUAUCCACUAUCAAUGACAUAAAAUGAGCUGUAAAUGCUGACGAACAAACAUGCACUGUUUUUCCAACCUGUGGAUUGAAGAGCAUUGACAAGCUAACUUUGCAGACCAUUUGAAUCCAAUACUAUACAUAAAAAUGCCAAAGGAGAAUAAUUCAUCUUGGAAAAAGAAUUACUAAUAUGCAAAAGCUUACCUUGUUUAACAAGAAAACAGCAUAUGCUGCUCUUGUCGUGUCUUGACCUUCUAAAAACAGCGGAAAUUCUGCCAGCUUUACAUUUGCUGAAAGUGUUGUAUCCAAUGACAAAUCAGAAGAUGCAGGGUCUAUUGAAGACGCAUGGUCAUUAAUAUAUGAGCGAGAACCACCCAAGCGCAGAGGAUAACGCAAGGGAACUUGUAAAUAGGAUGCAAUUAGUGAAACAGCCUGCAAAUGAUGAAAUAACAGGAAACAAGAAACAAUAAUAGGUAUGAUUAAAAUUAUAGCCUCAGCAUGAGAAACAAACAAUCAAGAUGCAACCCACUAUACCAUAUUACCAUCCUAGCAAUUAAAAAUUACUACAGCAUCUUCAAGCAACAAGGGAUUGUAGGUGGUAGGUCAAAAAACUUGAUAUCCACAGCUUGAUAUUAUCAGAAAAAACAAAUUCAGUAAUAAAUGAUAACUUCACAGAAGAAAUAGAACGCACAUGUGCAACAUAUCCCAAGGCAGUUGCAGAUCUCUGAACCUCCUUUUUGUCAGUGAAAAAACUCAUCUUUGUAAAAGGAAGCAAGGUGAGAUUCAGACCUAAAAUUGUCAACGAUCCUUGAUUGACGGGCUUUGAUGCAGAAGGAUUCCCUAUUGAAGACAGGAACAAAGGAACUUCAUAUCAGUACAUCACCAGACACCACCUCUUUGUGAAAGUCAAAAGAAAAUUCAAAAAAAUAUCAUCAUGAAAGUAAGAGAUAUGUAAAAAGCUCAUAAUAUUCAAGAACAAAAAAAAAUUGUUUUGAUAUGAGGAGAAUUGAAUAGUAGAUUGCUAAAAGAGGAAUAACUGAAUACAACCAUUAUAACCAAAAGAAGAGUCAAGUGAUAGGUAAUGGUACUCCCUAAGCUGUUUAGGAAUCAUAAAAGACUUGUCCAGUCGACAAAAAUAACUCAUUUUAUUCUCCCCUAGUAAAACAUCAUAUUGGACCAACCAUAUUUGAUAUCAAAGGAUAUGCAUAUCCAGGCAUGCCAUUUAUAGAUAUUCCCAGUGUUACAAGAAGGAAUUGUUCAAGAGAAAGAAGCUGCUAUUGUUGGUAAAGUUUUCCUCAAACCAUUUUGAACAUCCAAAAUCUCAAGAACAAAAAAGAAAACGUAGGAGGAAAUAUAACAAGCAUCACAACGGGUUCUCGAUGAUAUAAGUGAGAGGAUAAAUGUUAAUUAAGAAUAUAAAAAUAAACCACAAACUAAACAGGAAAGACAUGGAUUUCAAAACGAGGAGACUGGCUGCUAAUUAAAACCAUAUGCGGCGUUGUCUAGGGCGCAAGGCACAUUCUAGGUGCUAACCUUUAUAUUGCCUCAAGCACAAGGCACAAAAGGAAGCGCUAGCCUGAGUGCAGUAAAGCGCAAUACGUAUAUGUGAGAGUUUUUGCAAGUCUGUGUGUCUAUAACAUAAAAGUUUUAAGAUAUAUGGUAAACUCUAAAGUGUGGUCUGGUUUAUCCACAAAACUUGCAAAAUUUUUAUAGGUGAAUACUUAAAUAUUGAGAAUUAUAGAGUUUGAUAUUAUCCCUUUCUUAUUAGUAAAGGUGUAUCAAAUGAAAACAGUAGAAAAUAAAAUAAAAUAUUGAGAAAUUCAACAAGGCAGGCUUUUUCUAAUGCCCAUUGCCUUACAAAAAAAGUGUGCCUAGGUGCACCAGGCAUACGCUUGAUCAAAUGGACCUCACCUGGAAGGGUCCAAGGCGUUUUGUUGUAUAAAACUAAGGCGUAGGCACGCCUAGGCGCAUGCCUUGACGACACUGACCAUAUGUUGGCUUUAUUGCAAAGCAUUAGCAAUCCAAAACUACUAGCACAUUACCUAAUCUACUACUGCUAGAAUAGGACUCAAGUUCUUGCUCCUGUGCAGGUCCAACCAAGAUCUUUACAGGAUACAAUAAUGAAACUUGUGAUAUCAUAUAUUGUUGCCUUGCUCGAAGCUUCCUUUGCACAUUUUUAAGUUUAACACAACCCCUUUCUUCAGUGAGUAAUCUAUUUGCUUCCUGUGAUAAAAACAACAUAUAAUCAAUCAUGCCACGCAUGCAAGACUACCAACCAACUAUCUAAUAAAAGAGACAAAGAAGUAGGAGAGCAAGAAGGGGAUAACCCUUGACUAUGCAAAGGAAUUCAUAGAAUGAGAAUCAUCUCAUCUAAGCCCCUCAACCACCUUCACAGGGGGUGGAGGUGCAAAGAGAGAGGUCUUAUUGAUCCGAGAGGAGAAUAUAUAACAUCUAAAGCUGAAUAAGAAGAAACCUUCAAAUAUAUCAUAAAUUCAGAAUUCAUGAUAAUAUAAAAAUGAAAUUCCAAAGCUAAUUUAAGCUAGAAUAAAAAUGCUUCACCUGUAAUCGCUUCCUUGCUACAGAAAGAGAGGUACCAGCAACCAACAAUGAUCUUACUUCAGUACUCAGCAUUUCCUCCUGUUUUUUAGCAUCCUCUGUUGCAACUUUGCAACGAGUUGACAUGUUUGCCAUAACUACUUUCCUUGCCUCUAGUCUCUCACGCAUUUCCUCAAGCUCGUUCAGUUUAUUCAAAGACUCAUUUUUUACCUGCACAGCAUGUUCCCACCCAUUAAUCAGUGGGCCAAUUAAUUAGGUCACAGAAGACAAAACUAAAUUAUCACUCACCAGGUCCCCUUGAAGUGUCAUAUGGCUUUAACAAUUCAACGUGCAAUAUCUAGUAAAAGUGAAAUAAACAUAGAAGAAUGCAAAUGCAAUUCUUAAACGCCUUUAAAUGGACAACAUGAAACAGUUUAAGAGACCUAUAAAACAGAAAAGUGGAAAAAAAAUCUGAAAAGGAAAAAAAAUGAAUUGAAACAAUAAAUCCAUCCCUUGAAGUGUCAUAUGGCUUUAACAAUUCAACGUGCAAUAUCUAGUAAAAGUGAAAUAAACAUAGAAGAAUGCAAAUGCAAUUCUUAAACGCCUUUAAAUGGACAACAUGAAACAGUUUAAGAGCCCUAUAAAACAGAAAAGUGGAAAAAAAAUCUGAAAAGGAAAAAAAAUGAAUUGAAACAAUAAAUCCAUCCCUUGAAGUGUCAUAUGGCUUUAACAAUUCAACGUGCAAUAUCUAGUAAAAGUAAAAUAAACAUAGAAGAAUGCAAAUGCAAUUCUUAAACGCCUUUAAAUGGACAACAUGAAACACUUUAAGAGCCCUAUAAAACAGAAAAGUGGAAAAAAAUGAAUUGAAACAAUAAAUCCAUCUGGUACAAACAGCAACAAAUCUCGAAAUAAGCCUUGCCUUGGCUUUAGCCCAUUAAAGCCCGGGCAUCCGGCCAAAUAAACAGUGACUGCCAUGUCAACUUUUUGAGACGGUAGAAAAGAGCUCAAAAAUCUCAAUUUCCAAAAUUAAGGACAUAAGAAGGAAAAAAUGUACUUAUUCUUACAGUAGAAGAGCAAAAUGAAACUAAAUGAAGGAUAAGGGAACUGAUGCGAAUUGACAUUGUUAUUUUUGGGACUAAAAAGAAUACGCAGAUUGAAUAUUUAAGAUUUUGUAAGGGAAAAGUUCCAUUCACCAACACAAUUAUCAUCGCCCUUUAUCCCAGUAAAGCUUAAUUGACAAUUUUUCUGUCUCGUGUUCUUGCUAAAGCAUUUGAGCAACCCAACAGAAAUCAUUAUAUGUCAAACUGAAAUGAUUGGCUUUAUCAAUUUCACAACCUAUACUGCCCAACCUAGUAAGUAAUUUAGGUGCAGACACCAGAAAUCUAUUUUCUUUGCACUCUACAACCAAAUAGCCUACCACUUAUCAAUCAAACACAGCUGAAAACUUCAGUGAGGAAACAUUAUGUAAACUGAAAAAACUAUAACUUCAACUUGAUUCAUAGCUCGGUAAGUUCAGGGAACUGGGACUUCUACCACCAUGAUCCAGUUCGAUGUGAAACAGUGAUCCAUAUCACGCAUAUCGGUUCCCGCAACAAGAGGUAAAACAGCAAAUUAGGUAAACAAUGAUCCAACUAUAUUUCAGAAUAGCAACAUUGAGCAUGAAAGCUAAAAUUAUAGCAUAUUAUGGGUCCUUGCUCCCUACAACUACAUAUAAAAUUACUAAACAAUAUUACUACAUUAAGGAUCCAGAAAAACUUGGUUUCAAUUGUUGAUCACUUGAUCCAACUAUUUUAGAAAGUUUAUUCUUCUUUUUCCUUUCCCUUAUUUUCUAAAUCAGGAAAAACAGUAGCAUAUAAACUGGAUUACUACUCCAAUUAAGUUUCUAAAAUUUCAGCAAUAUCCCUUUAACCUUUUCACUCAAGUCACUACCCCCCCCCCCAAUUAACAAAUAUAUUCCCAGUUUCCCUUUCACUUCAAACCCCCCCCCCUUUUUUUUUUCUCUACCCAAAUUCAGCUUACGUUCAAAAACCCAAAAUUGGUUUGCUAAAAAAACAUAAUUUUCAAACCCAAAGGUAACCUAAUUUUAAUCAGAAAAAAAAAAGAAGCAUUACCUGAAUUAGUGAAUGGAGUUUCUCUUGAAGACUUUAUUUUAAAAUUAUCUUAUACUAUUUGCUUUAAAUCGAUUUUUAUUAGUUAUUUGAAACUCGUUUUCAUGUACUAUUUAUUUUUUUAUCACUUAUUUAAAUUGUUUUACAUAUCUAUUUUUUAAACCCUAUUUUAUUAUAUUUUACUUAUUUUAACUUUUUUACAUAUUUCAUUAUAAAUAUUAUUAAUUAUCUAUAUUGAGUUUUUCAUUUAUGUAUUACUUAUUUAGAUAAAUAUAUACUAUUUUGUGUAUUACUUAUUUUGAUUUUCUUCUUAUACAAUAUUACUUUAAAAUUCAUUUAGAUAUUAUUAUUUCACAUAGUAUUUAUUUUUAUCUUCAUUUUUGAUCUAUUUCAAACUCAUAUAUAUUGUUUAUUUUGAAAUUUUAUGCACAUGAUUAUUGUUUAUAUUGAUGAUUUUAAAUUUCCUUUCUUGUAUUUUUAUUUAUUUAUUUUAAAACUUGUUAUACUUUAUUUGUGUUAAUUUGCUUAGUUUUUCUUUCAAAAUUAACUUAUAAUUCAUUAGCUUUUAAUGUUAGUAUUUGCAUAAUAUGUGAUAUAAGAUUAUUGCUCUCAUGUAUUGCUUAUCUGUAUAUAUUGAUUAUUUGUCAUUCAUUAGUAUAUAUUUUGUUUUACGAAUUAUCACUUCUCGCGUUGUACAUUAUCAUUUCCAUCGCGUUUUAUUUGCUCAAAAAUUAUGUUUAAUAUGGCUUAAGUUUUGAAAUCAUUUUAUCCAAAAGCUUCCAAUAUAGCAUAACACUCGGUGUUUGGGAUUUUUGAAAAGAUCGUACUCUAACUUACGAGGUCUCGAUUUUUUGAUAAUUUCAAAUAUACGAACCUUUUAAAAAAAAAACAAGACACAUUUACUUAAAAAUUAUCUCAAGAAUCAAAAAAAGAUCGUGUCCCAACUUACCGGAUAUGAUUUAUUAUCUGAAACCGAUAUGAUCAAGAUUUUUAAAAAUAAAUAAAUUUUGGUGUUUAUUCUCGUUUCGGGAUUUAAGAUAUUGUGUCCUAACUCACGGGAUAUAAUUUUUUUCUCGAUUAACGAGAAAUACACCCUUCUUUAAAUUUUAACAAAAUGGUCAUUUUUUUAAAUUUCUUUUCGAAAUUUUAAUUUUUCGACAUUAAGACAUUAAUUAAUCGAUUAGGUACUAAUUUUGGGCAUGACGGGGUGCUAAUCCUUCCUCGCAUGUAACUGACUCUCGAACCCGUUUUUCUUAAAUUCCAUUGACCAAAAUCAUUGUUUUAAUAAAAUCAAAAUGUUUUAUCAAAACGAUUGAAUUGCAAGGUGAUCCAAUCACACAUAAAAAAAAUGUCGGUAGCGACUCCCUUUUUUUCAUUUUCAAAAUAAAAGUCAACACUAUUUUUGUUUUCAAAAAGUGGUUUCGACAAAAUUGUUUAAAUCUUACUUAUUAUUAUAUUUAAUUGUUUUUCAAAAUAUUUUAUAUAUCAUCAAUUUUACAAAUAAUUUAUAUUAAUUACUUAAAAGGUAUUUAAAAGUUAUAUUUCAUGUAUCAUUAUAUUAAAUUAUUUAAAUAUCAUAUAACUUGACUAAUUUUUUAAUUUCUACUAUCAUGUUUAAAAAGAACAUUUUAACUUUCAACUGCGAUUUUUAGUAGCAAUGAACAACACUAAAAACUAACAAACACACUUUUCAGCACCCCUUUUCAACAACACUUUUUUCUUAAAGUACUUUUGAACUAGUCCUUAGUCUAUCAUGCAUCGACUCUUCAUUUUUCUUUAACUACCCAUGUCCGACUUCAAACAUGGAUAUGGAGAUAUGACCAAGUCAGAGUGACAUAGUUUUUAGUUAUGGGGAAAAGGAUUCGAGUGUUGGACCUCCUUUUAGAUGCAUAGUGGGACUUUCAUCACAUUUUUCAAAUUUGUUGAUAAUCCUUCAUCUAAUCUGCCGGUGAAGUUUAUAGAUGGUCCUAAGUGUCUAUCACAAGAACCUAGAUAUUGUAAAUCCAAUAUCUUCCAAACAAUUCAACCAUGAUAUUAUUAAUAAUGAUGAAAGCAAGAUUAUCCACUAUCAAUGACAUAAAAUGAGCUGUAAAUGCUGACGAACAAACAUGCACUGUUUUUCCAACCUGUGGAUUGAAGAGCAUUGACAAGCUAACUUUGCAGACCAUUUGAAUCCAAUAAUAUACAUAAAAAUGCCAAAGGAGAAUAAUUCAUCUUGGAAAAAGAAUUACUAAUAUGCAAAAGCUUACCUUGUUUAACAAGAACACAGCAUAUACUGCUCUUGUCGUGUCUUGACCUUCUAAAAACAGCGGAAAUUCUGCCGGCUUUACAUUUGCUGAAACUGUUGUAUCCAAUGACAAAUCAGAAGAUGCAGGGUCUAUUGAAGCUGCAUGGUCAUUAAUAUAUGAGCGAGAACCACCCAAGCGCAGAAGAUAGCGCAAGGGAACUUGUAAAUAGGAUGCAAUUAGUGAAACAGCCUGCAAAUGAUGAAAUAGCAGGACAUUAGAAACAAUAAUAGGUAUGAUAAAAUUAUAGCCUAAGCAUGAGAAACAAACAAUCAAGAUGCAGCCCACUAUACCAUAUUACCAUCCUAGCAAUACCUGCAAAACUUUCAUCAAAACGGUAAUAACACUUUUGGACAAUGUGUCCUAUUUUACCACACAACUGGCAUUGGGGCCGAUUGUUUGAAAAACCACCCUCACGGCCUCAUCCUCGAUGGAAACCUCUAUUGCAUUGAAAACCACCUCUAUGUGCCUGUUUGUUCCCUUGAUAGCCACUGUUAUAAUCAUAACCCUUGGUCCGAUCACCCUCAUCACAAUCUUGUUUACUAGCUAUGUUAGCUUGUUCGAGAACACUAUUCAAGAACUCAAGUUCUCGAGCUUCACAAUCAAGCAGCAUCUCAAUCAACAGACCAAGCGACACACCAGUAGCUGAAGCUACUACCCGUACUGAUUCACACUCAACUGGCAACCUUGCAAGAAUGAUGCUAACCAUUUCUUGAUUUGAAAUCAAACAACUCGUUGCAACCAACAUAUCACACAUGGACUUGAUCUUAGACAAAUAUUCUUUAACAAACAGAUGACCCUUUUUCUGUGAAUACAACACAUGAUGCAUACUGGACAAUUUUACCGUCGACUUAGUCGCAAGCCUUUUUUUCAAUAGUUUCCCAAAUAUAAUAACUAGUACGAGCACUAGUAAGAUAGGCUAGAAUUUCAUCACUAUCAGUUGAAAGUAACCAAGAAGCCAAUAGCUUAUCUUGUUGCACAUGUAAAACAUAAUCAGAAUCUUCUACUAAUCUCCCAUAUUUAUCCACUACAAACUGUGCUAGUACACUAAUAGCACCCAAAACAAACUCAUGCAGACCGUAUCAUUCAAGGAUCAACAUAAUUUGGAGCUUCCAUAAAACAAAAUUAUACUCACCAAGCUUUAUUGUAUCGUGCUUAGGAAAUUGUUGAAGACAUCUACAACUGUUGAGGUGGGUUUUCUUUAAACAUACUCAUUCCAACAAAAAAAAAAUCUACGUUAGUAUGAUUAAUUAGAAAGUGAUUAAUUCAUUAUUUAGUUAGAAGUGAUGGCCUUAAGAAAAAAAAUGACAUUAUUUUAUUUGGCAUUGUUAAAAGUGUUAGUUACUGAAAUAAUUAAUGAGAUUAUAAAAGUGAAAGAAUCAAAUUAUGUCAAGAGUAAAGUAGAGGGUUUUAAUCCUAAAUUUGGGUAUAAUAAAGGGACUAACACCAAAUAAUUAUAAAAUUUUCAAAUAUUUUGAAAUUAAUUUUAAAUAUUAAUUAAAUACAAAUUAUAAAAAAAUAAAAUAAAAAUCCCCAGCGCAGUGAGGGACAUAUUCGAUAUCAAUAAUUAUAAAAUCUGUAGUUGUAAUAUUUAAUUGAUAUAAUAUAUAAAAUUUGAGGGUUAAAUUUGUUAUUAUACAAUUUUUUUAACUGCCGUGUCACUUUGCAAUUUUUUAUUUUAAGGAGUCAUCAAAAUAACUAAACUAUGUAAUGUGAGUGCUUAAAUUACAAAAUUUUUACUUUAAUGUGAGUGCUUAAAUUACAAAAUUUUUACUUUAAGUGUUUAAAUUUUUUAAAAAAAUUAUAAUUAAAUAACAAUCUAUAUGUAGUUUGCCCAAAAAUUUUAUAACCCAAACUACACAAUUUUAUGGCCAUCUCCCACUUUUGAUAUCUCUUUGGCCAUUAGUUAAGAUGGGAGGGGAAUGACUUAUUCAAGAUUAGUGUCAACAUUAGAUUUAAAACCUACGGAAGUCAUGUUUCAAUUUUUUUAUAUAAUAAUAUAACAUUUAAAAUUAUAUUAUAUCUAUAAAAGAACUCAUUGGAUUAGGGUUUUUUUUUUAAUUAACUUUCCAUUUGUUAUUAGAAAACAAAACUAAAAAUGCAUCAAACAGGGCUCUGAUAAAAAAUUAAAAAAAAACCAAAAUGUUUAGGUUUGGUAUCGUUUUACUUUUACUUUAAAAUCAGUCUAAUCUGUAUCAUGCUCACACCAAACAUAUGAAGAAAAAAAAAAGUGAAAUAGUAAGGAUAUUAUUAAUUUCAUUCCAAGACAAAUUUUAGCAUACCCAAUUAGGUCCUUGGGUUAAUCUUAUGUUUUUUGUUUAGGCAUUCAGCAUUCUUGGCGUUUAGUUUAGUUAGAAUUUUAAAUUAUGAUAGAUCUGAAACUUUGGUAUUUUUGUGCAAAACUCAACCUUAAAGCUUUAUUUGUUGUCUAAAUUAUUUUAUUGAAGCCUAGGAAUUGUUGUUAUUGUUUCGGCUAAUUGACCUUAAAGCAUCAAAUGCCUUUUUUUGGAUGGUCAUAUUCCUUCCAAGGGCUGAAUUACUAAAAGCCCAUGAAGUAUCCUUCUUUUUCUUAAGUGAGCCUCUGUUUCAAUGCCGCCAAAAUUUUCUUUAUCCACAUGGAAGCUGACCUGCCAUGAUGAUGUGGUAAAAAAAUGAACAAUUUGUAUUUUUUGAAAAAUAUAACACUUAAGAACUUUCUUUCUUCUUGCCUCCCAAUUCUCACCACCAAUUCCUUAGCCCAAAUCAGUUUUGGCCUCCGACAUUGAUCAUAACAAAAGUAAACUUUCUAUUAGAAAUAAUUUCUUUUAUGUACAAAUUAAAGGGUAAGAUAUUGUUUGGGUACAAAAAAAGCAUAUGAGCUUACUUUAGAAAAGUGACAACGUUGGGCUCUUUUAGUAUUCUAUCCUCCCACCAACUUUGUCCAAUGUUUUUUGCCUUAUCACCAGACAGUAAAAGGGCCUUUGACCUUUUCAGGCUAAGCGCUGCCUGGUGCAUGUAGGGGGAAAAGGCCUUCUAAUUGAAGUUCUCUUUACUAUCUCUUUAAUUGUUUCUUAAUUGUAACAAAGGGAUAAUAUCGAACUCUCUAUUUCUCAAUAUUUGAGUAUUCAACACCAGGCAUGGGAUCAUAUGGAAAUAUGCAUAUGGUUGACAAAAGAAAGAAAAUUUGGAAAUGUUUAUUUAAGUAGUAACUGCUGGUUUUCUUGGAUGCUUUCUUGUUAAUGACUACUGUUUGGGCAUGUUUAUUUAAGAAUUGCCCCCAAGUAGUUUCUUGAAUCAUCUAAAAUUGGAAAAAUUAGUCUUAUGGUAACUCAUUAAAGUAUUUGAAAGUAUGCACAAGCUAAUAACAUUUUAGAAAUUAAAAUUGAAGAUCGGUUUUUAGGGUAUCAUGUCCAUAUUAAGCAUCAUCUUUCCAGAUUACUGUUCUCUCUCUCUCUCCCUCUCUGUGUGAUAUAUUUCUCAAGUGAAAGGUAACCUUCUUCACUUGAUUUUGACUUAAUUUUGCAGUCACCACGAUUGUAUAAUGUGUACAAGCAAAUGGGAAUUGUAAAAUCUUUUCAGAAUAUUCUGGACAAUGUUUUCAUUCCACUAUUUGAAGUUACAGUUGAUCCGAAUUCUCAUCCUCAACUACACGUGUUCCUAAAAAUGGUGAGUUCUAUGUUCAUCGGAGAACAUACUGUGCUAUAAUAAGAGAGUUCGGAAAAUAUAGUUAAAAAAUGCUUCUUUAUUGGAAUGACCUGCAUUAUAGCAAGCUGAAUAAAUGAUGCCUUAACUUUAUUCAUUGUGUUCUCAUAAUUCUUUAAAACCAUUCGAAAAUUCUAUUGAGCCACAUUAUAUGGUUAAUUUUUGGGUCUGUACUGCAUACUGAACAUGUGUACAUCCUUGCGAUUUUAGAUGGAUGGAGUUGGACAGCAAAGCAAUUGAAAAAAACCCAAUUUAUGGUUUCUAAAUGUUAGAUCAUUUAUGGUUUCUAGUUUCAAUUUAAAAAAAAAAAAAUCCAAAUCAGCCAACUAAUGAAAUUUUCAACGAUGUUAGUUAUUUUAACUAAUCCAUAACAUGUUUGCUUCUUCUUCUUUUUUUUAGCCUAGCAGCAAUGUUAGCCUCUGGACUAGUUACCGCCCUCCUUUUUCCCCUCCCUAUUAACCCUUUUUAUUUUUCUUCUCAUCCACUCCAUGAGUCUUCGUUCUUUUCAGUUUACAGAUUUAUUUUGUGAGUAUUUUUGUUGUCUUUACAAGUUGUAAUGGACAGUUGACAAUGGCUAUCAUCGUUGAAACACCACCGACCACCAACACUUUCUUUUAGAAAGUGGGUACCUCUUCGUUGACUACUUAAUUUGUUUAUAUUUUGAGAGUUUCAAAAUAAUAAAUGAUUUCAUGACUCGGUUUAGACUCAUGUUUUUUUUCCAUUGUUUAAUAAGUUUUUACUUUUAAAAGUUUUUUUCUACUCUUAUAGUAAGCUUUUUAGUCUUACUUUUGCGAGUAAUUUUAGGGUUGGUUUUGUCGCCAUCCCCUCUAGUUUGGUGGAUGCUCAGUUCUUUUGCUGAUUUAUGCCCGCCGCUUUGGACCAUCCGGGGUUGAUUUUCUUACUAUAUUAAGUGCUUGUAAUCACUUCUGAUAUGUUGUGCUUGAGUUGUGAUAGAGCUGAUUUCAACAUGCCAUAAUGUUCUAUUAAUGUUGAAGCUAAAGCUUUUGUUAUAUUGAUGGAGCUUGUCCUUUAGCGAGUACAACAAGUGUUUGUUAUUUCCUCCCCCCGAAUUGUAUGGUAUUAUUCAUUGAAUAAAAUAAUGAAGUUGUCUUAAAAAAAACUAAUCCAUAACAUUAACAUUAAUAAGAGAACAAAAUAUAUCAAAUUAAAAAAGAAAAACUGAAUCUUUAAUUCAAUUGAGAAAUUAUAGGGAUUAAAACUAUAAAUUGAUCUAUAAUAAUUUCUCAGGCAUUAAUUGUAAGAUUAAUUCCAUAACCUAAAUUAUUGUAGGGGCUAUAUAAGCUCAAGGUUGACGCAAAAGUCAAUAGUCAGCGUCUGAAAGUUAAUGCAAUUAAUUAUGUCAUUGUUGAUAUAUUUAACGCAAAUAUAUUAUCAUAUGUGUAAUGUCAUACCAUCUUAUUAUUUCCAUAUGUUACUAAAAAUCUAGUUAACGGACUAAGGAUUGUCAUUUGUAUCAAGACUGAAAUUUUAAAUUUUGAAAAAUAUAGGUACUUAGAAUAAUCCAAUUAGAGAGUAUGGACUAAAUCAACAAUUAUACGCAUAAUAUAGGACUAGUAAUUGGUUUUAAUUAAAUUGAUUUAACUCUAUUGUUUGGAUCACAACUAAAAUUUUAAAAUUCAAAAUGUAUAGGGAUUAAAAUUGAUCAAAUUGAAGUAAAUAGACUAAAUUUACAACUUUCACAAAGAACAGUGACCAACAGCAGAAUUUAACCAAAUAAGCUCACCAAAGUCAAUAGUCAAUCUUUGAAAAGUAAUGCAAUUAAUUAUGUCAUUGUAGGAACGCUUUCCUGACAUAAAAUUCCACCAACUAAGCCUUUUGCGUAAAUAUUAGCUAUGAAAAUUCAACCAUUGAUAUUAAAUUCAAGACCCCACAAAUGACAGACAUAUAUGUUGGAAAAAUCUUUGUGUGAACAUUUCUUUCGGUCAUACUCAUGUCGUAUAAGUUAGAGGAGCACAAGUCUAGAUUCAUCCAAUUUUUGAGGAAUUAAUUAAUUAUAUAUUAGUUUAAAAUUAUAGUGAAUUAGUGAGACGCCAUAGGUCUUGCUUGCAUAUAAAUAAGAAGCUUAGGCUUCUUCAGAUUAUUUACAUAUAAAAGUUUAAAAAGUAACAUAUAGCUAAGAGAGAAGAGGAAAACAGAAAGAUGAUGAUGAUAAUGAUGGAGUGGAAAUGGUUAUGGUUUAUAAGGAUGGCAGUAAUGUUGUUGGUGUUAGAAGGGUGCAGGUGGUGUACUACUGAUGCUUGUUUGGAGCAUGAGUCGCCUUCUUGCAUCUCAAACCUUUCUUCAAUUAUGAUAAUCAAUUGAAAAGUUGGAUUGAGGUGAAGGGUUCAGAUUGUUGUAAAUGGAAAAGAGUUGAGUGCAACACCAUCACUAGGAGAGUCAUACAACUCUCCCUUAAUCAUACAUCAUCCAAUAUAUAAAUGAAUUAAUGAAUUUACCUUUCAAAAGAGAAAAAAAGAAUUCAUAAAUUUUGAAAUACAAAAUGAACGUGUUUUGAUAUUUUUAGGGCAAUGGUUUAGUGGUUCAAAAUUUUGAUUUAAUAUGGUGAAUUUAAUUAUAAUUUUUUAUAUAUUAGAUAGUAGAAUAUAUUUUACCAUUUAUAAUUAAGUACAAUUAAGUUUAGGUUAAAAUAUUUUAUUAAAUUUUUGUACUUUUCACAGAUUUUAAAUUUAAUCUGUUUACUUUUAUUCUAGAAUUUAAUCUCUCUGCAUGUAAAGGAGGUUAUUAUGGCAAGGGGAAUUACCAUGGCAGAGGUAGCCGAGGCUGAGGAAGAGAUGCUGGAUAUGCUGAAGAAAGAUAGAUGGCUGAGAAACAGAAAAACUUUAGGAACAAUAUUCAGUGUUAGAAGUAUGGGGAUGUGAAGGCAGAUUGUUGGAAAAGGGGAAACAAGCAAAUUUUGCCGAAGAUGAUGAAGAGAUUUAAAUUAUUUAUGAGCUGUCUAGAUGACACUAUAGCUUCAACUAACAUUUGGUUUCAAGGGCGUAUAUCUCAUGAUGAAGAGAUCGUCUCUCUUCUUUUUUCUCAUAACAUAUUACACGCCAUGAUAAUAAAUAUUGAUAUGCCUAUAAAUUUGAGUUUCUAUUAUUUGUAGUCAUGAUUUGGUUCACUCCAUAAGUUACAUAAAUUUAUUAUAAUAAUUCAAUUAAUUUUAGAUUAAUUUUACAUUUUUGCCCGAACUUUAGUUUUUAAUAAUUCAAUCAUCCCACCAUUAUAUUCAAUUAAAAGUGUAAUACGAUUUUGCGUCAUCCAACCAUUAUUCUUAGUGUAAUUUUUGGUAGUGAGCAUAGAAGGACAGCGAGAACAAAGAAAGAAUGUAUCCAAUAACCCACUCCCCUUAUAGUCAAUGCUUAAAAUGAAUAAGAAAAUAGAAAACAAACGUGGCAAUGCCAGCUAAUUUGUUAUUACUAUUCACCGUAUAACUAAGGACAUUACGCACCGUUUUAAUUAAAACAAACUCACCGUUUAAGACCGUUACUUCUAUGCAUCGUUUUAAUCAUAUGCGUCAGUUCGAACAAAUAGGUGAACAUGAAAGCUUUAGUAGAUGUGUGCUUAAAACUCAAACUUUGUGUUCUGUAAAAAUAUUGAUUUUGUUGUAAUUGUAGGUUGAACUUUGUGAGUCCAAUUACUUUCUUUGGCAUCGGAUAUUUCGUGGAACUUUCGUAUGAGAUAUUUACUUUAUAAAUAGAAGAUUACAAAAUUUGGAUAUUAAUAUAUUUUUCAUGAUUUAAUUUUCUUUUCCUUUUUUGGGCUAAAAUAAUUAAUAACGAAAACACGUCUUUUGCUAGCACCUAUAAAUGCCUUAAAAAUGUAAAUUAAUAUUCCACAAUAAUUAUUAAGAUGAAAAGAAUUUUAUAAUCUAAACUUACGAUUUCAUGUGAAUUUAAUGUUUAGUUAUAGUUUUAAUUACAAAGUUAAAUUGGUAUCUUUGUUAUUGCAAUAAUUAAAAAAAGAUGAGUCCAAAUGAAGUUGAUUUUCUGUUUUUUAAAAGUGAAUGCAAGAUGGGACGGCUGGAAUUUUUUUUAUUAAACAGUAAGUAUGAAGCAGUUAUGGUAAUUGCUUGCUCCAUCUCACUCCACUCCACUAUAUAAAAUUACCAUUUCAUUCUUUUAUAUAUAGAAAAAAAUUAAAUAUUUUAUGAAAAUAAUCAUGUUUAAAUUUCCAAGAAUAAAAGCAAACUGAAGACUUAAAAUUUCCAUUAAUAAAACCAAAAUCAAAGAAGUAAAUUUUCCAUGAAUAAAACAAAAAAUGAAGAUCUAAAUUUUCCAUUAAUAAAGCCAAGUCAAGACUAAGUUUGUAUAAGUGUAAGAAGGGUAUAAAUGAAACUCACAAGAAAGCCACAUGAAGAAUUUUAUAACCCCAAACUACACGAUUUUAUGUCCACCUCUCACUUUUCAUAUUUUUUUGGCCAUUCGUUUUUCAAGAUUAACAUCAGCAUUCUUGUGGUCCGUUCAUCCUUUUCUAAUGAAUUUCCACCAAGAGUUUUAUUUUUCAAAAUGUUAAAUUAACUUAUGAUAUUAAUUAAAUCAAGAAAUUUUAUAAUAAUAGAGAUGAAAAAACUAAAUUUUCAAAAUCAAAACCUAAAAUGUGCAAGAAUAAAAGCAAACUGAAGACUUAAAAUCUCCAUUAAAAAAAUCAAAAUCAAAGAAGUAAAAUUUCCAUGAAUAAAACGAAAAAUGAAGACCUAAAAUUUCCAUUAAUAAAUCCAAGUCAAGACUAAGUUUGUAUAAGCGUAAGAAGGGUAUAAAUGAAACUCACAAGAAAGCCACAUUAAGAAUUUUAUAACCCCAACUACACGAUUUUAUGUCCACCUCUCACUUUUCAGUUUUUUUGGUCAUUAGUUAUUCUAAGAUUUAACAUCAACAUUUGAUUUCAAAUCAACGUUAAACCAUGUUUAAACUCUUUUUCUUAUAUAAUAAUUAUAUUAUAUUUAAAAUUGAAAAAACUAACCAGCCAAAUAUAUAUUAAUUAAUUAAUAGAAUUUUUUUUGCUCAUCGAUUAAAAUAAAUCAAGAAAGACGUUGGAACCACCAACCUCUCUUUAAGAACAACAGGAAUACAAGAACCUAUGCACAACAAGUACUAAAAUGUAUUAAGUAAAUUCAUCACCAGGCCUUAAAAAAAGAAGAUCUCGAUAUACCUGCUUUUGCCAAAGCAUCUGCCAUACCAUUACUUUGCCAGUGAAUAAUUCUGAACUGAAACUUAGCCAAUUGAGUGAUAUUAAUUAUAGAAAUGGUUCUUCUUGCAACCAUAGAUGAAACACCACUGAGACUAACAAACUUGGAGAAACUUGAUUAAAUCAAACUUAUGCAAAUUUCUUGAAUAUUUAAGUUAAGAGUUAACGUCAAAGUCAAGAGUUGAUAAGGAUUUUGUGGUCCAUUCAUAUCUUUAUUACAAUAUAUAUAUAUAUUCAAGAAAUUUGCAGCAAGUUGGAGUUUUGCAAUAAGGAAUUUCCACCAAGAGUUUUGGAAUAAGGAAUUUCCUCCAAGAAUUUUGCAGGAAUCAUAUCUCUAACAAAAGAAAGACCUUCAUUUGACUAAAUUUUUUAGUAUUUAUUUUAACUUCCAUUUUAUUAAAAAAAAAACAGAGGUAAAAAAUAUGCCGAACAGGGUCUUUAGGUUACUUUUCUUAGAACUAUAUUAUGUUAUAGUACCGUAUAAGUUAGAGGAGCACAAGUUUAGAUUCAUCCAAUUUUUGAGGAAUUAAUUAAAUAUAUAUUAUUUUAAUAUUAUAGUAUACAGAGGCAAUGUUAGAAAAAAUUUUUGUGGAGUCGAAAUUAAAUUAUAGUUUUAAAAGCAUAUAUCUUUAUAAUUUUUAAAGAAUUAAAUCAAAUUUUUAUCAAUUUUAGGGGGUCAAUGUGCAAUUUUAUCUUUACUAAUUUAAAAUUUUAAAACAUUUAAAGGACCUAAAUAGGAAUUUUUCUAUUUUAGAGGCGUCUGAGACGCCUGUCUAGCUAUGCCCCUGAUAGUGAAUUAGUGGGAUGCCAUAGGUCCUGCUUGUAUAUAAAUAAGAAGGUUAGGCUUCUUCAGAUUAUAUACAUAUAGAAGUUAAAAAUUAACAGACAACUGAGAGAGAAGAGAAAACAGAAAGAUGAUGAUGAUGAUGAUGAUGGAGUGGAAAUGGUUAUGGUUUAUUAGGAUGGCAGUAAUGUUGUUGGUGUUCGAAGGAUGCAGGUGGUGUACUAUUGAUGCUUGUUUGGAGCACGAGAGGAUUGCUCUCUUGCAUCUCAAACCUUUCUUCAAUUCUCGUGAUGAAUUGAAAAGUUGGGUUGAGGUGAAGGGUUCAGAUUGCUGUAAAUGGGAAAGAGUUGAGUGCAACACCACCACUAGGAGACUCAUACAACUCUCCCUUAAUUCUUCAAAAUGGGAAGACAGUAUGGGAUACAACACGAAUAAUAGGAAUCUCAAUGCCUGGUAUCUCAAUACCUCUAUGUUUCUUCCCUUUGAGGAAUUGAAGAGUCUUUAUUUGUCGGGGAAUGCCAUAAGUGGUAACCUUGAAAAUGAAGUGUUGUUCCAAUAGGGUCGGAAGCGUGUAAAUUAUUGUACUAAAAAAUCACACAAAGUUCAAUUCCCAGGGAAGAGAGGUGGAUCACAAGGAUCUCUUAAAUACCAAGUCUUUCCUUAGACAGAAUAUCCCUUCUAUAGUAAUUUAAUAGCACAAUUAAAUACUACUAUUAUACCCUCAAAUAUUGAAAGAAAAAUAGGACAAGAAAGAACACAAGAGUUUUAACGAGGUUCGGUAAAUUAUACCUACGUCCUCGGGCACUAACACCAGAUGAUAACUUUACUAUCUUCAAAGUAUUACAAACAAAUAGAAUUCCUUAAGAAUUCUCAAAUGGGAGAAGAGAGAAAACUAAGAGAGAAAGAUUGGUUGGGAUGAAUUGAAAUGAGAAAUGAGAAGGCCUAUUUAUAGUUGAGGUUUAAGGACCAAACAAUAAAUAGCCCAUUAUCUCAAGGACCAAAAAAAAUUAUCCCAUGCCACUUUUUCAAAGUCAAAUUUAGGGUGCUAAACUUGCACCACUUUGUAUUGUUUGCCAUUAAUGUUGUCUCCCAUUAAUGUUAACAAUCUCCACCUUGAAGAUUUGAUUAGGAUAAUCACAUCUUCACACACUUCCUUCAACUCCCCAAAUUCGAUAAAGCUAUCUUUUGUAGUGCCUACAAAUGCACUCUCGGGCGCCAUACACCUGAAGGUGCUCAAAUUCUCAGGAUGUUAAUCAAGUUCAAACAAUGAUUAAACUUGAUUGUUGUUACCACCUUGGUCAUCAUAUCUGCGGGAUUAUCUGCUGUCGGAAUCUUCUGAAGUAGAAUUUUUCCUUUUUCAAAGACUUCCCGCACAAAGUGAUAUCUUACGUCGAUAUGCUUGGUUCUUGAAUGAUAGACUUGAUUUUUCGCUAAAUGAAUAGCGCUCUGACUGUCACAAUAUAAACUUAUGUGACUUUGAACAACUCCUAAGUCUUUCAACAAUCCAUUAAGCCAAAUAGCCUCCUUAACAGCUUCUGUAACUGCCAUAUAUUCUGCCUCUGUAGUAGACACAGCUACUGUAGACUGUAAGGUAGACUUCCAACUUAUUGGGGCUUUCGCAAGAGUAAACAGAUACCCCGUAGUUGAACGACGUUUAUCUAAAUCACCAGCAAAGUCGGAAUCAACAUAUCCAACUACAAACUGACCAAGUGCUUCAUCCUGUUCAAAAAUUAAACCAACAUCUACGGUUUUUCGAAGAUACCGUAGAAUCCAUUUCACAGCUUGCCAAUGUCCUUUUCCAGGAUCAUGCAUAUACCUGCUCACAACUCCAACAGCUUGUGAAAUGUCAGGCCUCGUACACACCAUCGCAUACAUCAAACUCCCAACUGCAUUAGCAUAUGGGACUUUCGCCAUAUAUUCUCUUUCAUCUUCAGUCUUCGGAGAUAAUUGAGCACUAAGUUUCAAAUGAGAAGCAAGUGGGGUACUUACAUGUUUUGUGUUUUCAUUUACACCAAAACAUUGUAAUACCUUUUUCAGAUAUUGCUUCUGAUUUAAACAGAGCUUGCCUCUCGGUCUAUCUCUACUUAUCUCCAUGCCGAGAAUCUUCUUGGCCUCACCUAGAUCUUUCAUCUCGAACUCUUGAUUCAACUGAGCCUUCAGCUUAUCUAUCUCAUUUUGGCUCUUCGAAGCGAUUAACAUAUCAUCAACAUACAAGAGUAGAUAAAUGAAAGAUCCGUCAUGCAGCUUCUGCAAAUAUACACAAUUGUCAUAUUUGCUUCUUGUGUACUUCUGCCUUCUCAUAAAGCUAUCAAAUCGCUUGUACCACUGCCUCGGGGAUUGCUUCAAUCCAUAUAGCGAUUUGUUAAGCUUACAAACCCAAUUUCUACCACCAGCAUCUGUGUAUCCUUCUGGCUGAGUCAUAUAGAUCUCCUCUUCUAACUCACCAUGCAAGAAAGCCGUCUUAACAUCAAGUUGAGCUAGCUCCAAAUUCAACUGUGCUACCAAGGCCAACAAAAUUCUAAUGGAGGAAUGCUUCACAACAGGGGAAAAUACAUCAUUGUAGUCAAUUCCCUCCUUCUGAGCGUAGCCUUUAGCUACCAAUCUUGCCUUGUAGCGAAUAUCCUUCUUGCUAGGAGAUCCAUCUUUCUUUGCGAAUACCCACUUGCAUCCGAUUGCCCUUUUACCUUUCGGUAAUUGCGCCAACUCCCAAGUAUUAUUCUUCCGGAGAGACUGCAUUUCUUCAUCCAUGGCGCUUUUCCAUUUAUCACUUUCUAAGCUUUGCAUUGCUUCUUGAUAAGUGAUAGGAAUAUCAUCAACAACGGGAAGGGCGUAGGCCACUAUAUCAGUAAAUCGAGCAGGUUUACGAAUUUCUCUCCGUGGCCUUGCAACUGCAACUGGUUCUGGUGUACUUAGUGGUUCUUGGGUCAGAACCUCUUCAACCUCUAAUUCCUCCAUUGUGGCUGGAGAAUUAGACUUAUUAACUGGGCAAAUCCCCAUCUGCUCAAACUCCACCUGUUUUGGAGUACACUCCACCUGCUGUGGAGUAUUGCUCGUCUGAAUAUCUUUAUCUGCUACCUUUUUCAAUGUGGUAGAUUCAUCAAAGGUAACAUCUCUGCUACAGAUCAUUUUCUUUGUGCUUAAGCACCAAAGACGAAAUCCCUUCACUCCAGAAGUGAUUCCCAUAAAGAGAGCUUUCUUUGCCCUCGGAUCUAACUUUGACUCCUUCACAUGGUAAUAUGCAGUGGUUCCAAACACAUGUAAGGAAUCAUAAUCUGUAGCCGGUUUUCCAGACCAUACCUCCAUAGGAGUUUUUCUUUCUAAUGCAGAUGAUGGCAAACGAUUAACAAGAUGGCCAGCGUAUGUCACAGCCUCAGCCCAAAAUUGCUUGCCCAACCCAGCAUUGGACAACAUACAUCGAACUUUCUCCAGCAAUGUUCGAUUCAUACGCUCUGCCAAUCCAUUCUGCUGUGGUGUAUCCCUAACUGUGAAGUGUCGAACAAUACCAUACUCUUGGCACACAUCGAAGAACGGAUCACUUUUAUAUUCCCCUCCAUUGUCCGUCCUAAGCCGCUUGAUUUUCUUGCCAGUCUGGUUUUCGAUCAUAGUUUUCCAUUUAAGAAAAACUCCAAGCACUUCAUCUUUAGUUUUCAUGGUAUACACCCAAACUCUUCUGGAAAAGUCAUCAACAAAAGUAACAAAGUAGUGUUUUCCUCCCAAUGAAGGUGUUUUGGAAGGCCCCCACACAUCUGAGUGAAUAUAUUCCAAAAUACCUUUUGUAUUAUGGAUAGCAGUGCCGAAUUUCACUCUCUUUUGCUUUCCCAGAACACAGUGCUCACAAAAUUUUAAUUUGCAAGCCUUUACACCUUUCAACAAUCCUUGCUUUGCCAGAAUUUGCAAGGAUUUUUCGCUGGCAUGUCCCAACUUCAUAUGCCACAACUGCAUUGAGUCCAAGUCUUUGUUACCGGAAGCUGCAGCGACUGCUCCAAUAACUGUACUACCUUGGUAGUAAUACAAGUUAUUUUUCCUGAUGCCCUUCAAUAUCACAAGUGCGCCAGAUGUCACUUUCAAAACCCCAUCUCUCAUAGUAACAACUGAACCAUUGGAUUCCAAGGCUCCCAAUGAGAUGAGAUUUUUCUUCAAACUGGGCACGUACCGAACAUCAGUCAGAACUCUGGUUGAUCCAUCUUUAUUCUUUAAUUGGAUUGAACCUAUCCCAACAGUUUUACAGGCAUUGUCAUUGCCCAUAUAAACAACUCCUCCAUUUAGUUCUACUAAAUCAGAGAACCACUCCCGGUUAGGGGACAUAUGAUAGGUACAACCCGAAUCCAAUAUCCACUCAUCUGAAUGGAACGACGAUGAUGAUGCAACCAGUGAUAGUUCAGAGUCACUAGUAUCAUGCUUAGCAACACAAGCAUCUACAGCAGCUUUUCCCUUAUUCUUCAGCUUUGGACAAUUUUUCUUCCAGUGGCCUUUCUCAUGACAAAAAGCACAUUCAUCUUUCCCGAGUCUGGACUUUGACUUUGAUCUCCCCUUUUGAGUUUUCUUCCGAGUGUAUGAACGACCUCGGACUAGUAAAGCUUCUGUAUCUCUGAUUGAGUUUUUCUGUUUGUCCUUCUUUCUCUGUUCAUAACUGUAUAAGGCCGCACAGACUUCGCUCAGAGAUAUAUCACUCCUGCCAUGAAGUAGAGUAGUUUCUAGGAACUCAAACUCCUCAGGAAGUGACCCCAACAGCAUCAAAGCCAAAUCUUCAUCUUUGAAUGUCUCAUCCAUAUUCAGCAAAUCAGUGACUAACUGAUUAAAUUUGGUGAUGUGAUCAUUCAUUGUGGUACUUGGGACGUAUGUGAAGCGAAACAGUCUUUUCUUCAAGUGGAGCUUAUUUUGACUGUUUUUCUUCAAAAAUUUUUCUUCAAGUGCCACCCACAACUUAUUUGCAGAAGUCUCCUUUGAAAAAGCAUACCUCUGCUCUCGAGAAAGGCAUGAUCGAAUUGUGCCACAUGCCAACCGAUUGAUCGCCUUCCAAUCUUUCUCCUGUACAUCAUCUGGUUUCUCUUCAUCAAUGGCAAUGUCUAGACCCUGCUGAAAAAGGGCAUCUAGAACCUCACUUUGCCACAUACCAAAAUGGCCCGUGCCAUCAAAGAUCUCCACGGCCAAUCUUGCAUUUGCAAUUGUCGGUCUUGUCCACAUGGACGAUGUUGAAGCUCCUACACCGACCGUUUUCUCCAUAAUCUUUCAAUAUACCUAAGGAAAUCUUUUCUGAUGUGGAAGAUCAGUUCAAACUGCAACCACAGAGCAUACUACGAUUAACCUUCGGCUCUGAUACCACUUGUUGUUCCAAUAGGGUCGGAAGCGUGUAAAUUAUUGUACUAAAAAAUCACACAAAGUUCAAUUCCCAGGGAAGAGAGGUGGAUCACAAGGAUCUCUUAAAUACCAAGUCUUUCCUUAGACAGAAUAUCCCUUCUAUAGUAAUUUAAUAGCACAAUUAAAUACUACUAUUAUACCCUCAAAUAUUGAAAGAAAAAUAGGACAAGAAAGAACACAAGAGUUUUAACGAGGUUCGGUAAAUUAUACCUACGUCCUCGGGCACUAACACCAGAUGAUAACUUUACUAUCUUCAAAGUAUUACAAACAAAUAGAAUUCCUUAAGAAUUCUCAAAUGGGAGAAGAGAGAAAACUAAGAGAGAAAGAUUGGUUGGGAUGAAUUGAAAUGAGAAAUGAGAAGGCCUAUUUAUAGUUGAGGUUUAAGGACCAAACAAUAAAUAGCCCAUUAUCUCAAGGACCAAAAAAAAUUAUCCCAUGCCACUUUUUCAAAGUCAAAUUUAGGGUGCUAAACUUGCACCACUUUGUAUUGUUUGCCAUUAAUGUUGUCUCCCAUUAAUGUUAACAUGAAGGUCGUGCCUCUAGUUUUUCUUUAAUUACAUCUUUUGUUAUUACACUACUCUCACCAUCGUUAAUUUGCAAUUACUUAUAUUUUAUUUUAUUUUAUGGAAGAAAAGUCACUAACUUGUAUAUAUUUAAAAGAAUAUUUCUAUAGGCUUUGGAAAACUAUCAUCCACAUUGAGUAAUUUGGAGAUCCUUGACUUAAGUUUCAAUUACUUGAAUGAUAGCAUUUUGUUAUCUUUGAGUGAGCUUUCAUCUCUCCGGUAUUUAGAUCUAUCACGCAACAAAUUUGAAGGAUCAGGUCAUCAAAGAGGUAAAUUAAGUUUGGUCUGGUGUU